GACGAACGCUGGCGGCGUGCUUAACACAUGCAAGUCGAACGGUGAAGCGCUUGCCUUUUUGGUGGGUGUGGAUGAGUGGCGAACGGGUGAGUAACACGUGAGUAACCUGCCCUCUUCUUCUGGAUAACCUCAUGAAAGUGGGGCUAAUACGGGGUAUUCCGGGUCUGUCGCAUGGCGGGUUUGGGAAAGAUUGCGCCUUUGGGUGUUUUCGGUGGGGGAUGGGCUCGCGGCCUAUCAGCUUGUUGGUGGGGUGAUGGCCUACCAAGGCGGUGACGGGUAGCCGGCCUGAGAGGGUGGACGGCCACACUGGGACUGAGACACGGCCCAGACUCCUGCGGGAGGCAGCAGUGGGGAAUAUUGCACAAUGGGCGCAAGCCUGAUGCAGCGACGCCGCGUGAGGGAUGGAGGCCUUCGGGUUGUGAACCUCUUUCGCCAGUGAAGCAGGCCUGCUCCUGUGUGGGUGGGUUGACGGUAGCUGGAUAAGAAGCGCCGGCUAACUACGCG
This 504-nucleotide ribosomal RNA is filed under the name uncultured bacterium. Its description in RNAcentral is "partial 16S ribosomal RNA". It matches the Rfam family "Bacterial small subunit ribosomal RNA", at positions 28 to 507 of the family's 1533-position model. The record is from RNAcentral.